UGGGGGAUAUUGCACAAUGGGGGGAACCCUGAUGCAGCGACGCCGCGUGAGUGAAGAAGUAUUUCGGUAUGUAAAGCUCUAUCAGCAGGGAAGAAAGAAAUGACAGUACCUGACUAAGAAGCCCCGGCUAACUACGUGCCAGCAGCCGCGGUAAUACGUAGGGGGCAAGCGUUAUCCGGAUUUACUGGGUGUAAAGGGAGCGUAGGCGGUACGGCAAGUCAGAAGUGAAAGCCCGGGGCUCAACUCCGGGACUGCUUUUGAAACUGUCGGACUAGAGUGUCGGAGAGGUAAGUGGAAUUCCUAGUGUAGCGGUGAAAUGCGUAGAUAUUAGGAGGAACACCAGUGGCGAAGGCGGCUUACUGGACGAUGACUGACGCUGAGGCUCGAAAGCGUGGGGAGCAAACAGG
RNAcentral lists this ribosomal RNA (407 nucleotides) under uncultured bacterium. RNAcentral describes it as "bacterial SSU rRNA". It matches the Rfam family "Bacterial small subunit ribosomal RNA", at positions 355 to 776 of the family's 1533-position model. The record is from RNAcentral.